CUCACGGCUGGACGUCAGAAUGACUACAUUAAUAUUCAUGGUCCUUCAACAUAGUGCUCGGUGCCAAAAGCGAUUUAGAGACAAAUGAAGUCGAGUCGGUCCGUGUGUAACUACAGUCAGAAUGCGAAAGCAGGGAGAUGUCUAACACGACUGGAUUAAAUGAAAGAGCAGACGCAGCCAACAACAGCGGACAGAUGAAAGAGGAUGAACGGACCAGAGGAGAUGGCGUGCAUGAAAGUCAGGAGAGAGUGAAGAGUGAGGUGAGAGAUGACCUGAUCCGAAACUCCCAGCCCAUCCUGUCAAAUAAAUCCCAGAUGCUCGGCAUGCCCCAGUACGGCCUGCGGGAUAACCUCAUCAAAUGUGAGCUCCUCAAGAACGAGGAUGCCUACACCUACAUCAAGAACUACAGCUUUUUCUUGGGCACCUACAAUGUGAAUGGCAAGAAUCCAAAGGAAAGUCUCAGUCCAUGGCUGGCAUCCACCACCACUCCUCCAGACUUUUACCUUGUGGCUUUCCAAGAGCUGGAUCUCAGUAAAGAGGCGUUUCUCUUCAAUGACACUCCUAAAGAACCCGAGUGGAUGUUAGCUGUCUACAAGGGCCUCCAUCCAGAUGCCAAGUAUGCUUUUGUGAAGCUGGUGCGGUUGGUGGGCAUCAUGCUGUUGUUCUAUGUGAAGGCGGAGCAUGCGGCACACAUCUCUGAGGUGGAGGUUGAGAGCGUCGGCACAGGUGUCAUGGGACGGAUGGUGAGUGACGUCUGUUUUUAUGAAAACAGUUAUUCAGGACUCUACAGUGCCAGGGCUUGCAA
This 805-nucleotide long non-coding RNA is filed under the name Sinocyclocheilus grahami. Its description in RNAcentral is "lncRNA (ENSSGRG00000005371.1)". The record is from RNAcentral. Lineage: Eukaryota; Metazoa; Chordata; Actinopteri; Cypriniformes; Cyprinidae.